AAUGGUCAGAAAAAACAGAAAUAGCAGAAAUUCACCCGAAAUGGAGAAUAAAAUUGGCUCUUUUUUCCUUCAAUGGGAGAUUAUAGCCGCAAAUUAACUAUAAUUGUCGGGCAGGCCGAAGACCGAAUGUAGUUCGGAAUUUCUGAAACAAACAAAAUAAUCAUCCUAUUUUUGCAAUACUAAGCUCGUGCCGUGCCAAUCGGUACCAGCGUUUUUACGUCACAAAACCCACUGUUGCUGACAUACUUUACCAACUAUUACGAUAAGAAACUAAUAGAUUUUGGUAGUCGGCAUGAUAAUCUCUGAUGACCAGGAAGUUUUUUUUUUGUUAUAGUAAUUGUAAGAGACCAGAAUACAAAAGUUGCGUUGUAAUCUAGUUGUUGCCGAUUGAGAUCGCUGACUUGAAAAAAAUUGUUAGAGGGAAAAUAAAAGUGGAAUUGAUUUCGAAACAAGUGGAGCUGGUCAAUAAAACGUUUAAACGACAGUUAAAGAAGUGGUGUUGUGGAGUUUUCUGGAAAACAAAACUAUAAAAUUUGUGUUUUCAAUCUUUUGCAUUUUAUGAAACCACAGCUUCCAUUAAAUACAAUAUUUUCUGGAUGGAUUGUAAAUUUUUGGUACAGAACAUAUGUAUUUAUACAUCCUAUGUGACCAUGAUUGAUGUAUGUAAUUAAAUUACUUGAUUGAAACAAACGGAAACACACUGUCAAAAAUACAAAACCUAAAAAAAUACAAAACCAAAGAAACGUGUUUUCGUUCCAUUAUCUAAAAGUGUAGGAACCGUACUUCAAAAUAUUUGCAAUGAAUAAAAUAUCGUAAUGAGAAAAAACAAAUACAUUCUCUUAUAAUUUUAUUCUUUUGCUUAUAAUACAAAAGGAAUUUGCGUUUGAUUGUUAAAACAAUUGGGGUGCAGCUACAUUAAACAGCCAUAAUUGCAUUGAAUUGCGAAGAGGCAAUUUGGGCACCCCCGUUACAACAGGGAUCUUGACAGCUAUGCGAAAGUGUACAGAAGAUGACAUCCUCCCUGCCGUUCAAGUUCUUCUAAACGACACGAUGUUAUCGCUCUUCGUUUGUGAGUGCAUUCAGACAUUGUUCAUGGAUGGCUGCCGUUAUGAACAGGGAUUUUGGAAUGUGGCGGAAAAGAGAUGAAGAUGAUAAACACUACAUGUUGUUCGCUAGAUGUUUUUUCCUUUGAUAAAAAUUUCGACUUGAUCAGAUAAAAUGAUUGAUUAU
Caenorhabditis elegans is the source of this 1230-nucleotide long non-coding RNA. Ensembl annotates it as ncRNA. Its record names the gene linc-103. Lineage: Eukaryota; Metazoa; Nematoda; Chromadorea; Rhabditida; Rhabditidae. The record is from Ensembl.